AUUGAACGCUGGCGGCAUGCCUUACACAUGCAAGUCGAACGGCAGCGGACCUUCGGGUGCCGGCGAGUGGCGAACGGGUGAGUAAUAUAUCGGAACGUACCUUUCAGUGGGGGAUAACGUAGCGAAAGUUACGCUAAUACCGCAUAUUCUGUGAGCAGGAAAGCAGGGGAUCGCAAGACCUUGCGCUGAUUGAGCGGCCGAUAUCAGAUUAGCUAGUUGGUGGUAAGGGCCUACCAAGGCGACGAUCCGUAGCGGGUCUGAGAGGAUGAUCCGCCACACUGGGACUGAGACACGGCCCAGACUCCUACGGGAGGCAGCAGUGGGGAAUUUUGGACAAUGGGCGGAAGCCUGAUCCAGCCAUGCCGCGUGAGUGAAGAAAGGCCUCGGUUG
This 390-nucleotide ribosomal RNA is filed under the name uncultured bacterium. RNAcentral's name for it is "bacterial SSU rRNA". It matches the Rfam family "Bacterial small subunit ribosomal RNA", at positions 30 to 424 of the family's 1533-position model. The record is from RNAcentral.